GGUCUUAUGAUUAAUAAUAUAAGAUCUGGCCUGCUCUAUGUGUAAUAAAUGGCCGCGGUAUAUUGACCGUGCGAAGGUAGCAUAAUAAUUAGGCUAUUAAUUGUGGUCUUGAAUGAAAGGUUAGACGAGGGAAAUACUUUCUUAUAUGCAUUGUUGAAUUUAAAUAAUUAGUAAAAAUGCUAAUAUGAUAUAAAAAGACGAGAAGACCCUAUUGAGUUUUAUAUUUAUUUUAUUUAUUAUAUUUGAUUGGGGCGAUAAUUAAUAAACAAUUUAUGUAAUUGAUCCACUAUUAGUGAUUAUUAGAAUAAAUUACCAUAGGGAUAACAGCAUAAUUUGAUUGGAGAGUUCUUAUUGAUAUUCAAGUUUGUGACCUCGAUGUUGGAUUAAGAUUCCUUUUAGGUGCAGAUGCUUAAAUAGGUAGACUGUUCGUCUAUUAAAUUCUUACG
This 446-nucleotide ribosomal RNA is filed under the name Scolopendra dehaani. RNAcentral's name for it is "partial 16S ribosomal RNA". It matches the Rfam family "Bacterial large subunit ribosomal RNA", at positions 1829 to 2600 of the family's 2925-position model. Lineage: Eukaryota; Metazoa; Arthropoda; Chilopoda; Scolopendromorpha; Scolopendridae. The record is from RNAcentral.